RNAcentral lists this long non-coding RNA (730 nucleotides) under Cercocebus atys (sooty mangabey). Its description in RNAcentral is "lncRNA (ENSCATG00000045766.1)". The record is from RNAcentral. Lineage: Eukaryota; Metazoa; Chordata; Mammalia; Primates; Cercopithecidae.
AUGAGGCCUAGUUUCAGGGUCACGUCCGCCAUGAGGAGAGGGAGACGCUGCUGCAGCUCCAGGACACCUGGGGCCACCAAGGCAAAAGUCAAGAAAAGGCUUCCUGCCCCACUCUUUCCCGGCUUCUGUCCACAGCUGUGCUCCAGGUGGGGAACACCUGUGGGUGCACCAGUGUGCAAAUACUCAGACUCCAGCAUGCAGAAGAGCCCCAGCUCCAUGCUGUUUCCAUAUCCAAGCCCAAGUUUGUCUAGAGCUUCAGCAAAUCCAAGCCUCCCUGAAUUUCCUGCAAGACCAGACUGAGCCCUACAACCCCCACUACACUGGUUAGCUGCCAGUCCCAGCCCCUGCUCCCUCCUGGGCCCCUGUCUGUACAGUUCUGAAGUCCUACAAGAAUGUUGAGAACCUAAGCUGACUCUCACCCAAAAAGGUAAACAACCAGGGGCCUCCAGGGGUAGAGAACAUACCCAGACAGGUUCUGCUGCCUGUAGGCUUGAUGUCCUUCCCCUACAACACACCAUGCUUGCCGGGCUGGAAGAGGGGCUCCAGAAACUUGGGAAACCUGGGCCUGUAGCUGGCAUGUGGAAAAGAGGCCUGGAAAAGCACACUCCUGUCCAUGAAGCCCCCAGAUGGAACCAGGUAAUUGGAAAACACAUGGGCACUAAGCCUGACCCUCACUCAGACCCAGGUGGGAACUGCAGCAGUGACUUGCCCCCUCUGCCAUGCAGCAGUG